Molecule: ribosomal RNA, 490 nt
Filed under: uncultured bacterium
Lineage: Bacteria
Description: partial 16S ribosomal RNA
Rfam family: Bacterial small subunit ribosomal RNA
Source: RNAcentral
AUUGAACGCUGGCGGCAGGCCUAACACAUGCAAGUCGAACGGUAACAGGAAGAUGUUUGCUUCUUUGCUGAUGAGUGGCGGACGGGUGAGAAAUGUCUGGGAAACUGUCUGAUGGAGGGGGACAACUACUGGAAACGGUAGCUAAUACCGCAUAACGUCGCAAGCCUAAAGAGGGGGACCUUCUGGCCUCUUGCCAUCGGAUGUGCCCAGAUGGGAUUAGCUAGUAGGUGGGGUAACGGCUCACCUAGGCGACGAUCCCUAGCUGGUCUGAGAGGAGGACCAGCCACACUGGAACUGGAACACGGUCCAGACUCCUACGAGAGGCAGCAGUGUGGAAUAUUGCACAAUGGGCGCAAGCCUGAUGCAGCCAUGCCGCGUGUAUGAAGAAGGCCUUCGGGUUGUAAAGUACUUUCAGCGGGGAGAAAGGGAGUAAAGUUAAUACCUUUGCUCAUUGACGUUACCCGCAGAAGAAGCACCGGCUAACUCCGUG